This 253-nucleotide ribosomal RNA is filed under the name uncultured bacterium. Its description in RNAcentral is "partial 16S ribosomal RNA". It matches the Rfam family "Bacterial small subunit ribosomal RNA", at positions 524 to 776 of the family's 1533-position model. The record is from RNAcentral.
UACGUAGGGUGCAAGCGUUGUCCGGAAUUAUUGGGCGUAAAGAGCUCGUAGGCGGUCUGUCGCGUCGGCUGUGAAAACUCGGGGCUCAACCCCGAGCCUGCAGUCGAUACGAGCAGACUAGAGUGCUGUAGGGGAGACUGGAAUUCCUGGUGUAGCGGUGAAAUGCGCAGAUAUCAGGAGGAACACCGGUGGCGAAGGCGGGUCUCUGGGCAGUAACUGACGCUGAGGAGCGAAAGCGUGGGGAGCAAACAGG